UUAACUGGGCGUUCAGUCUCUGGAUAUAGACCCGAAACCAGGUGAUCUAGCCAUGGGCAGGUUGAAGGUUGAGUAACAUCAACUGGAGGACCGAACCGACUAAUGUUGAAAAAUUAGCGGAUGACUUGUGGCUAGGGGUGAAAGGCCAAUCAAACCUGGAGAUAGCUGGUUCUCCCCGAAAGCUAUUUAGGUAGCGCCUCGGACGAAUACUACUGGGGGUAGAGCACUGUUAAGGCUAGGGGGUCAUCCCGACUUACCAACCCUUUGCAAACUCCGAAUACCAGUAAGUACUAUCCGGGAGACACACGGCGGGUGCUAACGUCCGUCGUGGAGAGGGAAACAACCCAGACCGCCAGCUAAGGUCCCAAAUUACUACUAAGUGGGAAACGAUGUGGGAAGGCUCAGACAGCCAGGAUGUUGGCUUAGAAGCAGCCAUCAUUUAAAGAAAGCGUAAUAGCUCACUGGUCGAGUCGGCCUGCGCGGAAGAUGUAACGGGGCUAAGUAGUAAACCGAAGCUGCGGCAAUAUACUUUUGUAUAUUGGGUAGGGGAGCGUUCUGUAAGCGGUUGAAGGUGUGUGGUAACGCAGGCGGGACGGAUCAGAAGUGCGGAUGCUUACAUGAGUGACGAUAAAGGGGGUGAAAAACCUCCUCGCCGGAAGACCAAGGGUUCCUGUCCAACGUUAAUCGGGGCAGGGUAAGUCGACCCCUAAGGCGAGGCCGAAAGGCGUAGUCGAUGGGAAACGGGUUAAUAUUCCCGUACUUCUUACAAUUGCGAUGGGGGGACGGAGAAGGCUAGGUGGGCCUGGCGACGGUUGUCCAGGUUCAAGUGCGUAGGCUUAAGAGUUAGGUAAAUCCGGCUCUUUUUAAGGCUGAGACACGACGUCGAGCACCUACGGGUGUGAAGUCAUUGAUGCCAUGCUUCCAGGAAAAGCCUCUAAGCUUCAGAUU
Molecule: ribosomal RNA, 948 nt
Filed under: Vibrio parahaemolyticus
Lineage: Bacteria; Pseudomonadati; Pseudomonadota; Gammaproteobacteria; Vibrionales; Vibrionaceae
Description: partial 23S ribosomal RNA
Rfam family: Bacterial large subunit ribosomal RNA
Source: RNAcentral